ACUGGGCGUGGUGGCACACACCUGUAAUCCCAGUGGCUCAGAGGCUGAGGCAGGAGGAUCCUGAGUUCAAAGCCAGCCUUAGCAAUGGUGAGGAGCUAAGUAACUCAAGGAGACCCUGUCUCUA
This 124-nucleotide small RNA is filed under the name Marmota monax (woodchuck). Lineage: Eukaryota; Metazoa; Chordata; Mammalia; Rodentia; Sciuridae. The record is from RNAcentral.